GGGAUCCGCAGUUUCCGGGCGUGAUGUCACAACUGAAGCUACAAUAGCUGGUGCAGGACUUUGAUUUGGGAGCUGUAUACUUGAGCGUUCCUAGAUCUUUAGAUCCGGAGCUCACUCUCCAGAGCCCUUUGCAUCGCUUGGCUGUCAUGGCUGGCGGGACCCGCGCAAGGAGCAGGGCAAACAAGGCAAAGCCGUUCCUCCUUUGAUCCGGAAGAAGAGACCUCAACCUUCGCUGUCGAUUGGACCACGUCAUAAGGGCGGGGCCAUGGCGAUCCAUUCGCCUUGGUAACCAUAUGUGACGUAGCUGUAUGCCUAGGAUCCCUGGCUCUAGGAGCUCGGUUUUAGUGGGCGCAGACUCCGAUCAGGCCCUGUCGUGGGUGGUGCUAUUGAUGCCACGCCCCCCACGUCCUCUCUGACUGGCUGUGAUGCGUCACGUAGCCAGAAGAGACUCGCCGGAAAACUGUGAGCUUGCCUGAGGUAGGAGUCUUCCGGCUUCUACAGCCACUUCCCACGGAAGCUGGGGGAGCCGCCCUCUCAACUAUCUCCCGUCACACCCUUCUGUUCGCUCGCCUCAGACGCUGCCCUUCCACACCCGUGCUCUGGUUCGCGCCUACUUGGGGACGCUGUCCCCCCAGUAUUCACUGCCCUAUCCCCUCCCACCCAUCUAAAAUGUCUAAUAGUCUCCAGAGCGUCAUUCUGAAAACCGCAGAGGAAAAGUCAGGCUCGCGCUGUAUUUCAGGGUGCAUGUACCAAGUAGUUCCUACGAUUGGCAGCGAUGGAAAAAAACUUCUGCAAUUACUUCCAAUUUCUAAAUCUUCUGGAAAUCUUAUCCCAGUAGUUCAGUCUCCAGUCAUGUCUCAUGGUUUGAAAGCGAAUACUGAAAAACCAGUUCAAGUUACUUUUCAAACUCAGAUUUCCAGCUCUUCCACAAGUGCAUCUGUUCAAUUGCCUGUUUUUCAGCCAGCCAAUACUACAAAAUGUUUUUUUACAGGAGCAAUAGAUACAACAGGAAAAGAUAGAGUUACUUCUGUGAGGACUGGAAAUUUUACACCACCAGUUUCUAACAUUCAGAAUCAUGGUGUGAAAAUUCAUAAACUCACCAGGCAAACAUUUACUAUUCCUCCCUCAACACAAAAUGAUUCAUCUCAUUUUAUAUUCAAUACCCCAAGUCUCCUACCAAAUGUGAAUUCUUCAAUUUUGCCUUCUGGGAAUCAUUUAAAGAUUCCAGCCCAUGCUGAAGUGAAAUCUGUACUUGCAUCAUCCUUGCCUCCUUUGGUUCAGCAAAAGAUACUUGGAACUGCAACCACAAGUACCUCAGGAACAGUUGAGGCCUCCCAAAUACCAACAGUUGUUUAUGUACAUCCUGUAAAUUCAGUGAAAUUUGUUGUUACCAAGAAAACUCAGACUAUUUACCCCAAACCAGUGACAUUCAAUACCUUGCAAAUUCCACCAAAUGUUGCUACAGAAACACAAUUAAAAGGUGGUCAGCAUCCUCAAGCUGCUCCAGUGAACUCGAUUUUUCAGGAGUAUCUACAGCCUGGAAUCCCAUGUAUUAUUCCUGUUAAGUCUUCAAAUAAUGUGGCUACAAAGGUUUUAAACACUUUUGUAGGUAGGAAAAAUCUGGGAGAUAAUACAAUAGAUACACCUCUGUUGAAUACCAACAGUUCUGGCAGGACACACUCCGUAAGUGAACCUAUUAAAGAUAAUGCUUUGAUAAUGUUUAAUGGGAAAGUCUGGUUGAAUGAAAAGGGGACAUGCGGUCUGCCAUCAAAAAUUGACCAGCAGAAUUCUGUUUCUUCUGAUAUUCCACUAAAAGAUUCAUCACAGCUAGUAAGUUCAAGUAUAGUCACAGAAAUAUCCAGAGAGAUUUUAAAUAGUGUUUUGGUUAAAAGUAAAUCUUUUCAGUUGAAGACAAAAUCACUUUCAAAUUCCCAGCUUGCUUCCAUGGCCAAUCUAAGAGCAGAGAAGAAUGAAAAAGUGGAGAGACCAUCUUUUUCUGUCACAAAUCCACAUACUAUGAACCAGUCCACUCACUGCCUUAAACAGAGUAAGACUGUAUUUAUAAACCCAGUUUUUCCAGAUGGAUUUAGGACAGGACAGAAUGCCCCCAGAAAAGGAAAUCUCGUCCAGAACAUAGAGAAAAUAUGUUCCUCUGUUGAUGCAGCAACUGUUACUUCUCAACAGUGUGUUUUCAGAGACCAAGAAUCACAGCUCGCCAAAUCCAUAAGACAAAGUCAAUCACAGAACAAAGUUCAGAAGAUUUGGACAGUGAUAGGUCUUCAAAGAUGAGUAAAAUUAUGUGACUAUGGGUACAUGUGUAUAAUGUAUAUACACAUAUUUGUAUAUGAAAAGAUAGAAUUUUAUGUAUAUAAGAGACAGGGCUUAAAAUAUUUUCUUGCUUUGUUUUUGGUGAUGGUCAAGAGAAAAUUUUCAUUUUUUUUAAGUGCCAUGAAAGGGGUGAAGUAGAAGUCAUCAGAACCUGUAAGUUAAGUAAAAUUUUAUCCAUAUCGUUGACUAUUUGUGCCUUAAACUUAAGACAUAGCAGGAGUUUUGGUUUUUAAGACACGUGUGUUUCUUUCAGCCUUUCUUUCUGUUGACUCUAGUUGAAUAACAUCUAUCAGCUACCAUUCUCUUCUUAAAAAGCCACUGUCCUUGCUUACUUGAUGACUUAAUGUUAGUGGCAGUCCCUUCAGUACAGAAAUCAUUGCAUUUUAAAUACAAGGAGAUAAAUUGUAAUACAAGCAAGAUGGGUUGAAGACAGUAGACUUUUCCAGAAAACUCCAGACUUUCUGUACAGAUUUUACUGUAAUUUUGGUUUGAUUUGGUUUGGUUUGCUUUACUUUGUUUUUUAGUGUCUCAAUAUGUAGCUGAGGCUGGCCUUGAAUUUACCAUCAUCCUGCAUCUGCCUACUGAGUGUGAGUGCCUUAUUUACAGGGUACCAUGCCUAGCCUAGAUUAUUUUAAAGUUGUUGUCAUACCUAGCAUCACCUCAUUUACUUGAGAACAGACCUGUGUUACUAUUCUGUACAAUAACCUAAAGAUUAAUUUUGUGAAUAUUUUAAGUUUGUAUUUAAAUCCAGUUGUUUGAAUGUAUGGUAAAUAUAAUUGUAAUACAAUUGUUUUAAAACAUGAACUGAUCACUUGUGGAAGAUUAGAAAAUUGCUUAUUUGCCAGUCCUAUAAAGUAACAAGUAAUUAGCAAUAUGUGGUCUUUUUUUUUUUUCUCGUUUCCAGACGCAGUAUGAGAUGGCAUCAAUAGUAAAAAAGGAAAUUCAAGAAAAAGGAAAUAACAAGAAAUAUUCUCAAGGAAGCCAUACUAAUAUUAAGGCAUCAUGUCUGAAGAAUGAUGCUGAAUUUAAAAAGCUAUUUGGUCUCACUAAAGAUUUGAGAGUAUGUCUUACUCGAAUUCCUGACCAUCUGAGCUCUGGAAAAAGUUUUAAUUCCUUUAACAGUUUGAUGAAAAGUAGUUCUUACAAAGAUGCAAACAUUGUGGUGAAGAAAGAAGAAAAAAAACAGAGUUUCUCUAAGAAAAGAAAAGCGGAAACCAUGAAGAUGGGUAACACAAAAAAGAUAAAAAUUGAGAAUGCUGAUGACACGGUCAUGAGCAUCAUGAAUGGAACUGAUGUUGCUAGUUCCCAACCUCUCAGUAGUAUUUUACCAACAUCAGACAUAUCACAACAUAACAUUGUCACAAGCCAUAGUACAACCAGGGAAGACAAGAGAACUGAGGCAGAACACUGUUCUCAUGAGAAGCAGGAAAAAGGCACAUUAAGUUCAAGCACAUCUUUUGAACAAAGUACUUUUUUAAAUAAAAACUUUAUGGAAGAUAUUUUUCCAGUGACACCACCAGAACUAGAAGAAACCAUCAGAGAUGAAAAAAUAAGAAGACUUAAGCAAAUUUUAAGAGAAAAAGAAGCAGCUCUUGAAGAAUUGCGUAAGAAGAUGUACCAAAAACAAUAAAAUCUCCAUGGGUUAAAGACUUAUAUUAUUAUAGUAGUUCUCUCCCACCUGUCAGGGAUCCCCACUGGAUGCCUGAAACUGGAGAUGAUACCAAAUCUUGUAUAAAACCACUGUAAAGUCAUGACGUUAACAACUAAAUGUCUACUUAGAUGUAACAAAAAAGUUAUAUAAAUAUACUGAAUGAAGAGGAUAAUCUAUAUCCUUAACAAAAAACUGGAAUUUUUGUCACACAACUUGAAAGUAAUUUAAAAGUUACAAAUUCAUUCUUUUUGGAGUUUCUCAUUUAUACUUAGACACCUGUGUACGAUGGGGAACUAAAAACAAAAGUACCUGCAAGUUAUAAGGGACUACUCUGUUAAUUGUAAAGGUGCUAUGAAAGUGACUUUGUAUAUGAAACGAGUUCCCAAAAGGGUUGAGUCAUGACUUGUCAAUAACCUACAUGAAGUAUUUUGACUUACUUGUUUUGGAAGAAAAGUUGGGUAUUUUUCUGUGAAAUGCAAUUCUCCAAAUUUGAGCAUUUUGUAUAGGGUUUCUGUUAAAUGUUUUCAACUAAAUUCCUCAGGUCUUACCCUAAGAAUAUUGUGUAUAAAUUCUACAACCCAAGUUAUGAAGUAAGCUGUAAGCAUAACUUUACCACUGAGUUUAAUAUGAUCUAUUUGAUAUUGUUAUUUUUAUUUCAUCAAUAAAAUCUAUUAUAAUAAAUGUAUUCAGAUAUUUUUCAAUGUGAAA
This is an RNA transcript of Mus musculus (house mouse), 4687 nucleotides long. It is a transcript of the gene named ligand dependent nuclear receptor interacting factor 1, with no coding region annotated. NCBI's taxonomy places the organism in Eukaryota, Metazoa, Chordata, Mammalia, Rodentia, Muridae. The record is from RefSeq and is marked validated. The transcript is spliced from 5 exons.